RNAcentral lists this long non-coding RNA (1087 nucleotides) under Homo sapiens (human). RNAcentral's name for it is "HSALNT0056989". The record is from RNAcentral. Lineage: Eukaryota; Metazoa; Chordata; Mammalia; Primates; Hominidae.
CUUUCCUCCAAUUUUACUGAAUUAUACUUUGGUGAAGUCCAGUAAUUCAAGUGUUUGGCUAACAAUCAUCAAGGCCACAAAAACCCAGCCUCUGCUCUUGGCAGUAUCAGGAACUUCAUAGAAUACAUCACUUUCAAAUUGCAGCUGCAAAUGGUCUUGUUAAAGGUAUCAUCAGACAAACUUAAAGAUGAUCUGACAAUGUCAUUUUCCAAGGGACUGAUAGAAAGAUUGAGUAUCAUGGAAUCAGAACAGACAACAGAGAAUCAGAUUUGGACUGAAUCAGAAUAAACAGGCAAUGCAGACACUUGUUCUCUGAAUCACAAUCAAGACUCAGUGCUGGAACAGAUUUGAGGAAUGUAUACAAUUCUUAUCUAAACUGAUGUCUGAUAUUUAACCAGGUUAAAGUUUUUUCUUUUAUUUUAAUGUGAGAAAAAUUUAACAGAUAAUACAUUUUCCCUUCACUACUCAAUGUCUCAGUUAGAAUUUCAUCUGAAUUGCAUUUAUUCAAUUCAUUUUAUUUCUUGACUUGGUGGAUUUAAUAUUCCUGGCAUGCUUUGAAAACAUGGCUGAAUGCAUUUAUGAAUGAAAAUUGACAAAUCCUAGUUCUGUUUCUUAAAUACAUUAUUUGUCACAAGCUUUAGAAGAAAAUCACUAAUUAUUUAAUGUGGUUGUAUUUUCAAAUCCCUGAAAAGUGUUGAAUGCUAUAUACCAAACAUAUAUUGGCAUAUCAAAUGUUGCCCAAGAGUCAAGCAUGACUUUUAUAAGAAGUUGCAAGAAAAGAUUGAAAAUAUUUGUAAAAAUGAAUAUUUUGUCACUCUUUAAGAACCAGAAUGCUUUGAUCUACAUUUGUAGAUUUCUAGUUUGGAUAAGUUAUUUGGAGAAAUAAACAAAAUUGUUUUAUUGAAAAAGUUUUAUGUUAAUUUCAUAGUUGACUGUUUCCAUGGAAAAUAAAAAUAUUUUUGACUCUUACCAUAAACUCUUAGAUUUAAUGUCACCUUUGGUUGUUUAUCUGUACAUUUCUUCCUAUUCAAUCUCCAGACAUAUCUCCAAAUAUAUCACGGUAUAAAAAGUAGAAAACACUGUAGAA